This is a non-coding RNA of Terrapene triunguis (Three-toed box turtle), 475 nucleotides long. The record is from the annotation of a RefSeq genome assembly. NCBI's taxonomy places the organism in Eukaryota, Metazoa, Chordata, Testudines, Emydidae.
AUGAGACUUUGGGUCUAUGUAGUUCUCAUUGUGGCAGCUCUGCAAGGUGCCUGGUCCCAGAUCAACCUGGUGGAGUCUGGAGGGGGUGUGAAAAAGCCCGGAGACUCUCUCCGCCUCUCCUGCAAAGCCUCCGGGUUCACCUUCAGCGACUACGGGAUGAACUGGGUCCGCUGGGCUUCAGGAAAGGGACUAGAAUGGGUCGCUUAUAUAAGCAGGAGUGGGAGUGAUAUAUACUACCUUGAUUCAGUGAAAGGCCGGUUCACCAUCUCCAGGGAUAAUUCCAAGAGUGAGCUGUAUCUGCAAAUGACCGGCCUGAAACCCGAGGACACCGCCCGCUAUUACUGUGCGAGAGACACAGUGACACAGAAACCUAUUGAUGCUCCUGCAAAAACCCAGGCUGCAGAAUCCGCACACACCACGUGGGGGCAGCAGCGACAUAAACAACAGGGCUUUGGGUACAGAAAUGGGACUCAAG